AGUGAACGCUGGCGGUAGGCCUAACACAUGCAAGUCGAACGGCAGCACAGUAAGAGCUUGCUCUUACGGGUGGCGAGUGGCGGACGGGUGAGGAAUACAUCGGAAUCUACUUUUUCGUGGGGGAUAACGUAGGGAAACUUACGCUAAUACCGCAUACGACCUACGGGUGAAAGCAGGGGAUCUUCGGACCUUGCGCGAUUGAAUGAGCCGAUGUCGGAUUAGCUAGUUGGCGGGGUAAAGGCCCACCAAGGCGACGAUCCGUAGCUGGUCUGAGAGGAUGAUCAGCCACACUGGAACUGAGACACGGUCCAGACUCCUACGGGAGGCAGCAGUGGGGAAUAUUGGACAAUGGGCGCAAGCCUGAUCCAGCCAUACCGCGUGGGUGAAGAAGGCCUUCGGGUUGUAAAGCCCUUUUGUUGGGAAAGAAAAGCAGCAGGUUAAUACCCCGCUGUUCUGACGGUACCCAGAGAAUAAGCACCGGCUAACUUCGCG
Molecule: ribosomal RNA, 492 nt
Filed under: uncultured bacterium
Lineage: Bacteria
Description: partial 16S ribosomal RNA
Rfam family: Bacterial small subunit ribosomal RNA
Source: RNAcentral